GACGAACGCUGGCGGCGUGCUUAACACAUGCAAGUCGAACGGAAAGGCCUGCUUUCCCUUGUGGAUUGCGGGUACUCGAGUGGCGAACGGGUGAGUAACACGUGAGUGAUCUGCCCCCAACUUGGGUAUAAGCCUGGGAAACUGGGUCUAAUUCCCGAUAGGACUGCAGGGUGGUGCCUGUGGUGGAAAACGAUUUUCUAGUGGUUGGGGAUGAGCUCGCGGCCUAUCAGUUUGUUGGUGGGGUAAUGGCCUACCAAGGCGGCGACGGGUAGCCGGCCUGAGAGGGUGGACGGCCACAUUGGGACUGAGAUACGGCCCAGACUCCUACGGGAGGCAGCAGUGGGGAAUAUUGCACAAUGGGCGGAAGCCUGAUGCAGCGACGCCGCGUGGGGGAUGACGGCCUUCGGGUUGUAAACUCCUUUCGACCGCGAGGAAGCCACCUGGUUGGAAGGGUGGUGACGGUAGUGGUAGAAGAAGCACCGGCUAACUACGUG
This 494-nucleotide ribosomal RNA is filed under the name uncultured bacterium. RNAcentral describes it as "partial 16S ribosomal RNA". It matches the Rfam family "Bacterial small subunit ribosomal RNA", at positions 28 to 507 of the family's 1533-position model. The record is from RNAcentral.